Molecule: ribosomal RNA, 253 nt
Filed under: uncultured bacterium
Lineage: Bacteria
Description: partial 16S ribosomal RNA
Rfam family: Bacterial small subunit ribosomal RNA
Source: RNAcentral
UACGUAGGAUGCAAGCGUUGUCCGGAUUUAUUGGGUUUAAAGGGUGCGUAGGAGGCCUAUUAAGUUAGUGGUGAGAACGUUCGGAUUAACCGGAUACCCGCCAUUGAUACUGAUAGACUUGAGUGCGACAGAGGGUGUUGGAAUGUGUGGUGUAGCGGUGAAAUGCUUAGAUAUCACGCAGAACACCAAUUGCGAAGGCAGAUGCCUAUGUCGUAACUGACGCUGAGGCACGAAAGCGUGGGGAGCAAACAGG